RNAcentral lists this ribosomal RNA (433 nucleotides) under uncultured bacterium. RNAcentral describes it as "partial 16S ribosomal RNA". It matches the Rfam family "Bacterial small subunit ribosomal RNA", at positions 29 to 507 of the family's 1533-position model. The record is from RNAcentral.
AACGAACGCUGGCGGCAGGCCUAACACAUGCAAGUCGAGCGGACCCUUCGUGGUUAGCGGCGGACGGGUGAGUAACGCGUUGUAAUAUGCCCUUCUCUACGGAAUAGUCCUGGGAAACUGGGGGUAAUACCGUAUACGCCCUUUGGGGGAAAGAUUUAUCGGGGAAGGAUUAGCCCGCGUUGGAUUAGGUAGUUGGUGGGGUAAUGGCCUACCAAGCCGACGAUCCAUAGCUGGUUUGAGAGGAUGAUCAGCCACACUGGGACUGAGACACGGCCCAGACUCCUACGGGAGGCAGCAGUGGGGAAUCUUAGACAAUGGGGGCAACCCUGAUCUAGCCAUGCCGCGUGAGUGAUGAAGGCCUUAGGGUUGUAAAGCUCUUUCAGCUGGGAAGAUAAUGACGGUACCAGCAGAAGAAGCCCCGGCUAACUCCGUG